GUAAGCAUCUGAAAAAUAAUUAUAUAUAUAUAUUUUUUAUUUUUUUAAACAGGGAUGCAAGUGUUAUAACUUGAUUUAGUGCUGCCAGUGGUGAGAGCAGAAAUGUACAAUUACUGAUGUCUGCAAAAUCUCUAUGCAUUUUUCUGAAAUAAUGUAAAUUUCAGUACUCUUUUGUAGCACAGGGACUACUCAUGCUUGUUUUACUAUUAUACUUAUGACAAAUUACCACAACACAUGUGUUUGAGAAACUUGAAUGCAGUGUGUGCAUCAUUCUUGUUGAAGGACUUCGAUAUGUGCUCAAGAAUAUAAAUGAUAAAAUUUGCUUUAAUUUUCACUGGAUUCAACUUGCAAACGUGUAGAUCUGUGUGGUUUGUAGGUAAUGUAUCACAGUUUUAAAAGCAUGUUUUUCUUUUCUGGAUCUAAACGUUCUAUGACAAAUGAAGAAUCUUUGUGGUAUGAAAUUUGUGAAAUAAUGAAUAUUUUUCGAAUCCUAUGAACAAAAUGUUUUUGAGAGAGGACAUCAAACUUUAAGCUUCAAAGUAUCUGUCAAGAAUGGAAAUCCUAGAAAAUAUUCUUGUCAAAAAAGCAAUGUUUAACUACUUCCAUAUUUUAAUUUAUUAACUAUUAGGUGCUGAAAAUAGAUUUGUGCCUUGAUCAAAUCCUUAGUCUGUUUUUUUCUCUGAAUUGGAAGGGUUUGGUUCAACAAGAAUCUCCUCUUUUCAACAUAAAUGUGUUGUGUUGUAUCUUAAAGCUUUGAUCUCAAUUACAAUCGUUGCUCUGUUGGUGUAUUUCUGUGUAUUUUAUGAGACCCUGAAUGUUUUGUUUUGUGGCUGUUACCUGUACCAGUACUAUCCUGUUGCUCUCUGCAGUGUGCAUUACCCACCAGAGGGAGCCGAAGCCAAGAACCGUACAGAUUUUGCUUUGCCUUCCAAUUUUCAGAGGCAGGAAAACUCACAGUUGAGCAAUCAUACAUGAAGUUGGUCCUUACCACCUCUAAGCUGCUUGCUACUUGCUCAAGUCAUUUGUCAUUCUGAAUGCAUUCUAAAUGCUGUGUCAUAAUUUGCCUUCUCCAAAACCAUUAGUAUAUCAGUCACAGCAAUCAUAGAAAUCUGAUGGAAGCCUUUGGAAGUUCCUUAACUAACAGGCGUGCAUGUUUUCUACACCACAGAUUGUGGGUAAUCAACCUGUUAGACCUCCUCUGAGAUUAUUUUUCAAAUUCAAAAUCUUGUCAUAGAAAAAUGGUCACACACAACCCCAAUUUUGGCGCAGGUUUCUGUUUCUUGAUAGAAACUUUUCAUGAGGAAGGUAUGAGAAAGUUUAUAUCAAAUUGCUGUUUAAUAGAGUUUGCUGUACAGCUUUCUCAAUUAGAAAUUGCUUUAUAUAGUCAUCAAUUUAGUUGUAUAAUGGCAUAGCUUGUUGGGAUUUUUUGUAGGUGUUUUCCAGUAUUUCAGUGGGAAUUAAUCUGUCAAAUGUAGUAAACAGAAAUGUGAAAAUUUCAAAAAGAUUAGCAAGAGACUCCUGAGUUUGAAAAACAAAGGACAUCUUCAGUUGUGCAGUUUCCAGUGGUACCUCCUCACCAGUGGCUAUUGAAUAACAGUACUAUAAGACAAUAUGAAUGUGCAUUUUGAGGUUUUCUUAAUAAAAAUAGGAGAAAAUCUUGCAAACAUUUUUGGAAGAGGAGAUGAUUUGUAUUUGCAGGGUCUUUCAGAUGCAGUUACUUAGCUGUAAAGUGACCCUUUAGUCAUAACUUCUGCUUUUAGUUCUCUCGGAUUGCUUUUUACUCUGCUUCUAAUUAUUUUUGACAGCUUUUUUCCUUUGUUUCUGUGCUUAAUUCGCACUGUCAUUUCAAUCUUUCUCUUACUUGGGUUUAUUUUUCUCUUUUUUUUUUUCUUUUGUGAGAUGCUGCUUUCAUAUACUCUGUUUUCACUUUUGACUUUCUAUCACCUCAGAACUGUAUUGCCUUGUAUUUUAUUUUGAGGUCAGGGAAGGGAAAGGAAUAAAUGGCAGCUGCAGAUGCAGGAAAUACACUCAGCUCUGUGUUUGAACAUGUACUUUUUUGUUAUUCCAGGUUUUUGAUCAGACUGGCUCAUGGCAGUAGCUGCAUGAAAUACACAUUUCCUCAUCAGAUACUCCUAAACACAGGAAUUGUUCCAUACUUAUAUCAAGGAAUUCAGUGAAAGAUUAUAUUUGGUGUGUGUACAGGUUAGUAGAAUGUAUUUUCCCCCACUGAGAAUUUAGGACUAGAAGCUCGUUUUUUGGAAUUCAUCUAAAUAUGAGCAUUCCACCAUCACAUUUUUGUUAAUUUUUUUGUUAGAUCUGUUCAUAAUUUCUUGAUACUUACUCCACAGGUCUUUAUUUCUGUAUUGGCAUUAUAUAAUCCCAAUCCAAAAGUUACAAUGGAAUAAUCUUAAGAGCAUUUUGUAGGUAUGAAUAUCCUCAAAUCAUCUUCCACUAAUAAGCUGCUAAUACAGGUACUUCUUCCAAACGGAAGCUGAACAGCAUUCUUUCCUGGUUUGGUAAGACAGUCCAGCAUGCAGGUUUUUGCAGUGUUUGUUGAGACUGUCAAACUGAAAUUUCUGAGAGCAAGAGUUGUGCUAAUGCACCACAGGUGUUGUUCUCUUUGUUGGUAUCUUACCAUGAUUCAUCUUUGCUUGGGGUAAAUAUUGCAGCCGCUGAAAAAAAUUAUAGGUUUCUAAGUUCUAUAGGUUUCCACUUCUCCCAUAUGCAACUGCCAUAUAGAAAAAGGCAGUCAUAAUUCCUUAUACAGUGUGUUUGACAGGAUUAGAAUGAAAAGUGCCACUCCUAGUCUGAUUUUCCAAUUGCACUGGAAAUGUUCUGUAUUAAGGACAGAAGUAAUAUUCAAAGACACAUCUUGUUGCCGAGUAGAAAGCUAACGUGUUAGAAAAAGUUCCUGUAAGAGAAUGGAAGCAAUAAAAGAUGGCUACAUAUACAAGGAAUUAUAAAGAAAGUAAUCUGAAGUGCAUGUUGAUGUCCUUGUUAAGUCCCAUAUUUUGUCACUAGUACACCUGAAGGGUUUAAAAGCUAGAUGUGCAGGUAGUAAUGACAUUGUGGCACAACAAAUCAUAGUGUAUGCUGCAAGAAGAUUCAGUGCUGGUAGAGACAGGCAAACUAUUUCAAAAGAAGUAAAAUCAAGCCACAAUAACCCCAACUACUGUUCAUGAUGAUCUUUUAUUGCAUGAAAAUGUGUGGUUAAUUAGCAUAUUUGGCAAUCCGUUUUAUUCAUGAACUGUCACUGCCAGGGUAGUGAGAUUGCCCCAGCUACCAGUUAAGUUAUAUGUGGCAAGAAAAGCCCAAUCAGGCUGCAUCAGAGCUUCUGGGUUUCAUUCUUUAAUGUACUCAAAUAGCUGAUUCUGACAGUCAUAGACCUGAUAUUGUCACAUAUCUCUUGCAGUACGUUAUACAAACAUAUCUGGAAGCAGAAGUCAGUCUUUCUUGUGUAUGCAUCAGAUUUUAUUUAGUGGUGUGACAGAAUAAGGGUACAGAUAACUUUUCUCUAUAUUGAUUCUCUUAUUUUAUGCUGAAAUAGAAAAGAAACUGUGAACGUUCAAUGCUAGCAAAAGCAAUAUGCCUGCUAAGCUGAUAUGCCAUUCUGUGGCCAGUGUUCAAGCAAGCAGCUGGGAAUUAAUGAGUACUUCCUUGUGGUCUCCAGGUAACGAAGGUUUAGAAGCUAUAUUCUUUCUUCUCCAGAAUAGGAAUUUGCACCUAGUUUUAAAAAAUACUUGAGUGGCCUGUGUUGUCUUCAAGAACAUCUUUUCUAAAUUCUGUAGGAGUUUUUUGAAAAUCACGCUGGCAGCCUUCCAGCAACUUUAGAUGCCUAAUUCUUGGUAAAAUUCUUGCUUUUAGUCUUAACUUUUCUACCCAGCCAAGUUCUAUCUGAAGGCAGCAGAUUUCACUCUUGACCCUAUUUGCACCUACUUCAUUAAUCAUCUGAGUUCUCAUCUAAUUGUAUUCAGCUGCAUUCCAAAUACUAAUACCACUGAGAUAAUAUUUGGGAAUCUGAAGACCAUCGGCAUGUGACCAAGUCACAUUCUGUUCCUUUUGGAGACAUCACACAAGACCAAUGGACUCCACCUCUUUUUUCAUCUGUAACCUAUAAAUUUUGUCCAUUGGCCAGACAAUCCUGGGUGAACUGAAGGUUAAAAAUGGUUGAAAAAUUAACCAAAUUUGUACCUCUUGGCAAUUACUGAUUAUUCCUGUAGAUUUAUUUUUGGAGUCAUGAAAACAGGAUUAAAGUUUUGGAUUCAUUUGGGUGCUGGGAUGAAGUUACUCCGGGUUUUGAAGGCUGUGAUCAUUGUGAUCAGCCAACUCCAACUACUGGAAGGAGGAGCAAAAGCAUCCCUGUGUGCAGACCGAAAGUGACACUAGAUCUACACAGGAAAGACGGAGGAACCGCUGAAGCAGAAGGAACUAAAUCAGCAGAGCUGACAGCAAGAUGUGAUGGGGUGCUAGAUACAGUACUGAUUCCUUCAGAAAUAACUUACAGAUUUGUAACGGGUAAGUGAAUUUAUGAACGAUACUCAACUACUUCCACAGCCAGAACGUACGCAGAACAGUCUCUCUUUCUGCAGACCUCUGUUUUACAAACUGCCCUUCAUUUUUAAAUAAUUGUCUGCUUUGUACAGUUUUGGAAGGAUUCAAGCUCGCACUAAAUGGAAGCCAUAGUUAUUAUCUCAGUGUUGUUCACGGUGAUUUCUUUUCCUGCUGACAUCUUGAAACAGCAGCUUAAGAGGGAACCGCCACUUUUUACUAUAAAUUCUGAAACCUGUACAGAAACAGAAACCAACAGCACUUUGUUCUACUCCAGAUCUUCACCAGAGGAAGAUCAAGUCAGCGCUCUGCCCACCUAAUAACUCACACAGACUAUUUUUCCCUCAACGCCAGUUCUCCAGCUGUCACUGAAAACCCAGGCUUUGUUUUCCUACAGCUUCAGCUGCAUCUGUUGCCUUGACAGGGAAAAAAUUUUGCUCCUGAAAAGUGCCAAGUAAGGCACUCUGUGGUCUGAAGAACUAGAAAGACAUUAUCAGAGGACAAUAUUCUGCUCCCACAUUAUCUCCUGACCAGCCCUCUGCAAGGUAAAAAGCUAACUGUGAGCAUAGCUGCAGAUGUCCCACACAUCUCCUCGCCUGGGAGAACCCAUGGGCACUCACUGCUUUUUCAUAAUGACAAAGAAAAAAACUCCCUCUGCAUUAUUGACACCUUUUGGAUCGGUCACUCCCCAGAUGCAGCUGAUGGAUAUACACCAAACACCUUGCAUGCAUCACCAUCAGGUGAAAUGCCCUCCCGUUCUCCAGAGGGUAGCCGAGUUUCUAACUAGCUGAUGGAGGAAAAAUUUUGUACCCACAGAGAUACAAGUUCACUCAAGUACUUCCUUAUUAAUCCCUUAUUAAUUGGAGGAGGCACCCGUGUCCAACUAGACAGCUUGAAAGCCUCUGCUUAAAAAAGAGACUAAAAAUAACAAACCAGGACCAAGCGUCCAUUGCAGUUAAUCUGCUUAAGUUUGGUGGGACAGACAAAAAAAAAACUAAAAGGGUUCCAACUUCCUCAGCACGGGAGCAGCUCUGCCCCUCCUGCAAGCACCAUCACUGCCAUUUACACUGACCCAGACCACACGGGGGUACUUUAAGGAGAUCCUGGGGCCUGGGCAGCGCAGCCCACACUCCUGCCUCACCGGGACAAGCUCCCACCCGCCCUGUCAGCGGGUCGGCGCCGCUCAGCCUCCGCGGCACGUUUCAGCGACGGCGGAUACUUGCAGUGGGGCAGCACGGCAGUAACCAGAAAUACAAACCGCACAGUCGUGCAGCCCGACAGCACGAGGUGGAGGGAGCGCAGCCCUACAGAACGGGCGUUUAGGAAGCAGCGGCGUCUCCGCCCGCAGCCGGGGCCGACUCCCGCCUGACGGCCCCGCGUGCGCCGACGGGCACGGCGCCCGCGGCUCCCGGCGCGGCGCGGAGAACAAGGGCUCCUAGCGGCUCCGCACCCCCCGGGCCGCGGACGCACGAGCGGGGAGCAGAGGCCGCGCUAAGGCUGAGCGCUGCGGUCGGAGCGGUUCAACCAGCGCAGGGUGCCGAGGCGGGCUGCGAGCGGCGGACCGUGCCGCAGCUCCGCACCUCGUGCUCGCAAGCUGCACCCCCGCCCGCUCCGCGGGGCCGCGUCCAACGCUUCCCCUUCCUUCCACUCCCCUCCGGGUUUUAAGCCGAGAAGGGAGGCCGGGGCCUAACGCCGGGCGCGGAGGUACCGCGGCUCCGGCUCCCCGCUCCGCCAGGGGCGGGGCU
Non-coding RNA from Phasianus colchicus (ring-necked pheasant), 6293 nucleotides. Lineage: Eukaryota; Metazoa; Chordata; Aves; Galliformes; Phasianidae. The record is from RefSeq and is a predicted model, not a curated record.